Molecule: long non-coding RNA, 117 nt
Organism: Sapajus apella (tufted capuchin)
Lineage: Eukaryota; Metazoa; Chordata; Mammalia; Primates; Cebidae
Exons: 3
Source: RefSeq, a predicted model, not a curated record
CGACUAUAAAGAUUCCUAAAAAUGUGAAAACUGGGUAACAGGCAGAGGCUGGAACUUUGGAGGGCUCUGAAGAAGGUAGAAACAUGAGGGAAAGUUUGAAACUUUCUAGAAGAGGUA